Molecule: long non-coding RNA, 255 nt
Filed under: Lathyrus oleraceus (garden pea)
Lineage: Eukaryota; Viridiplantae; Streptophyta; Magnoliopsida; Fabales; Fabaceae
Description: Pisum sativum (pea) long non-coding RNA (PSAT_LNC015519)
Source: RNAcentral
UCAUCGUCAGAAUAAGCGGCCAUCUUAUGACAGUAGGCCCAAAUGUGGGUUCUUGGAUCACUGGCUCCUUUAUACUUUUCAAUGUCAUGGACUUUGAACUUAGCAAGGAUAACCACAUCAGGUACAAGGUGUAACACCCCAAAAUUUGCCCUCCUCCUUCAUGCAAUCAUUUUUAGGUCAUUUAACAUUUCAUAUUGCAUUUCAUCAUGUCAAUCAGAAUCAGAUCCAAGAAACUUUAUUUAAAAAAAACGAAAG